This 345-nucleotide unclassified non-coding RNA is filed under the name soil metagenome. RNAcentral's name for it is "partial contains 5.8S ribosomal RNA, internal transcribed spacer 2, and large subunit ribosomal RNA". The stretch from base 1 to 120 matches the Rfam family "5.8S ribosomal RNA", at positions 35 to 154 of the family's 154-position model. The record is from RNAcentral.
GAUGAAGAACGUAGCGAAAUGCGAUACGUAAUGUGAAUUGCAGAAUUCAGAGAAUCAUCGAGUCUUUGAACGCACAUUGCGCCCCCUGGUAUUCCGGGGGGCAUGCCUGUCCGAGCGUCAUUGCUGCCCUCUAGCACGGCUUGUGUGUUGGGCCUCCGUCCUCCUCCCGGGGGACGGGCCCGAAAGGCAGCGGCGGCACCGCGUCCGGUCCUCGAGCGUAUGGGGCUUCGUCACCCGCUCUUGUAGGCCCGGCCGGCGCUUGCCGACACAUCAAUCUUUUUUCCAGGUUGACCUCGGAUCAGGUAGGGAUACCCGCUGAACUUAAGCAUAUCAAUAAGCGGAGGA